Vicia faba (fava bean) is the source of this 348-nucleotide non-coding RNA. NCBI's taxonomy places the organism in Eukaryota, Viridiplantae, Streptophyta, Magnoliopsida, Fabales, Fabaceae. The record is from the annotation of a GenBank genome assembly.
AUGUUGCACACACUUGUCCCAAACCUAACAGCCCAAAGUUUGCACACAAUUAGCAAUACGAAAACUGCAGCAAAAAGCAAUAAAACAGUAUGCAAAAUUUGUUUUAAAAAACUCAUUAACUUCAGCUACAACAACAUAAACAGCACCCGCAACAAUAAUAACAACAACUUUCACUCAAAACCUCUACUCUUUCGGUCUCUGUUGCAACUUCUUUCGCUCCUAACAGACCAUAAUACUUCACUCCCUGCGUUCAUUUUCCAUUUGCCCUGUAUAUACAUACAUAACACACCAAUCAAUAGAAUUGAAAAGAGCAAUGAAUCAGUCUGUAUUUUAAACUCGAAUCUGUGA